CAGUAGCCGCGGGAAAACGGAGGGGGCUAGCGUUGUUCGGAAUUACUGAGCGUAAAGCGCACGUAGGCGGCUUGGUAAGUUAGAGGUGAAAGCCUGGAGCUCAACUCCAGAAUUGCCUUUAAGACUGCCGAGCUAGCAGGUGAGAGAGGUAAGUGGAAUUCCGAGUGUAGAGGUGAAAUUCGUAGAUAUUCGGAAGAACACCAGUGGCGAAGGCGGCUUACUGGCUCAUACUGGACGCUGAGGUGCGAAAGCGUGGGGAGCAAACAGGAUUAGAUACCCCCGUAGUCCCUGUCUCUUAUAC
RNAcentral lists this ribosomal RNA (301 nucleotides) under uncultured bacterium. Its description in RNAcentral is "partial 16S ribosomal RNA". It matches the Rfam family "Bacterial small subunit ribosomal RNA", at positions 509 to 807 of the family's 1533-position model. The record is from RNAcentral.